Molecule: ribosomal RNA, 645 nt
Filed under: uncultured bacterium
Lineage: Bacteria
Description: bacterial SSU rRNA
Rfam family: Bacterial small subunit ribosomal RNA
Source: RNAcentral
UCGCACGAGAAACACAUCCUUCGGGGUGUGGAGUAAAGUGGCGCACGGGUGAGUAACACGUGGGUAACCUGCCCUUGGAACCGGGAUAACUGGCCGAAAGGCCCGCUAAUACCGGAUAAGACCACAUGAGCUUCGGCUUAUGCGGCCAAAGUCGGCCUCUCGAAGAAGCCGGCGUCUGAGGAUGGGCCCGCGGACCAUUAGCUAGUUGGUGGAGUAACGGUUCACCAAGGCUGAGAUGGUUAGCUGGUCUGAGAGGAUGAUCAGCCACACUGGAACUGAGAUACGGUCCAGACUCCUACGGGAGGCAGCAGUGAGGAAUAUUGCGCAAUGGAGGCAACUCUGACGCAGCAACGCCGCGUGGGUGAAGAAGGCUUUCGGGUUGUAAAGCCCUGUCAGGUGGGAAGAAACCUCCCUGAGUGAAUAGUUCAGGGAACUGACGGUACCACCAAAGGAAGCACCGGCUAACUCCGUGCCAGCAGCCGCGGUAAGACGGAGGGUGCAAGCGUUGUUCGGGAUCACUGGGCGUAAAGCGCGUGUAGGCGGUUCGAUUAGUCGAGUGUGAAAGCCCGAGGCUCAACUUCGGAAGCGCAUUCGAAACUGUCGGGCUUGAGUACGGGAGAGGGAAGUGGAAUUCCUGGUGUAGAG